CCUACGGGGGGCUGCAGUAAGGAAUCUUGGUCAAUGGACGCAAGUCUGAACCAGCCAUGCCGCGUGGAGGAUGAAGGUCCUCUGGAUUGUAAACUUCUUUUAUUUGGGAAGAAACUCCCGAUUUCCAUCGGGAUUGACGGUACCAGAUGAAUAAGCACCGGCUAACUCCGUGCCAGCAGCCGCGGUAAUACGGAGGGUGCAGGCGUUAUCCGGUUUCACUGGGUUGAAGGGGUGCGUGGGUGGCCGGGGUGAAAGCUCCGGGCUGAACCCGGAAACUGCCAUGGAUACUAUUUGUCUUGAAUACUCUGGAGGGGAGCGGAAGAUGUCAUGUAGCGGUGAAAUGCUUAGAUAUGACAUAGAACACCCAUUGCGAAGGCAGCUCACUACGGAAAUAUUGACGCUGAGGCACGAAAGCGUGGGGAUCAAACAGGAUUAGAUACCCGUGUAGUC
This 450-nucleotide ribosomal RNA is filed under the name uncultured bacterium. RNAcentral describes it as "partial 16S ribosomal RNA". It matches the Rfam family "Bacterial small subunit ribosomal RNA", at positions 338 to 795 of the family's 1533-position model. The record is from RNAcentral.